Molecule: non-coding RNA, 375 nt
Organism: Syntrophaceae bacterium CG2_30_49_12
Lineage: Bacteria; Pseudomonadati; Thermodesulfobacteriota; Syntrophia; Syntrophales; Syntrophaceae
Source: Rfam
GGAGUAGAUCAGAUGAUCGCUGGUCCGGUUUUCCGGGCUGGAGGAAAGUCCGAGCUCCGCAGGGCAGGAUGGUCGCUAACGGCGACUGGGGGUAACCCUAAGGAAAGUGCCACAGAAAAUAUACCGCCUGCCAUCCGGCGGGUAAGGGUGAAAAGGCGAGGUAAGAGCUCACCAGUUUCCCGGGUGACCGGGAAAGCUUGGCAAACCCCAUCCGGAACAAGACAAAAUAGGAGAACAUUUGAGGGUGGCCCGCCCGACGUUCUCGGGUCGUGUCGCUUGAGGCAGCAGGUAACUGUUGUCCCAGAUGAAUGAUCAUCGCCGCCUUUCGGGUAACUGCGAGGCGGUACAGAACUCGGCUUACGAUCUGGUCCGGCA